CCUACGGGUGUCAGCAGUGAGGAAUAUUGGUCAAUGGGCGCGAGCCUGAACCAGCCAAGUAGCGUGAAGGAUGACUGCCCUACGGGUUGUAAACUUCUUUUAUAAAGGAAUAAAGUGAGUCACGUGUGCCUUUUUGUAUGUACUUUAUGAAUAAGGAUCGGCGAACUCCGUGCCAGCAGCCGCGCUAAUACGGAGGAUGCGAGCGUUAUCCGGAUUUAUUGGGUUUAAAGGGAGCGUAGAUGGGAUGUUAAGUCAGGUGUGAAAGUUUGCGGCUCAACCGUAAAAUUGCAAUUGAGACUGGCAGUCUUGAGUACAGUUGAGGGAGGCGGAAUUCGUGGUGUAGCAGUGAAAUGCUUAGAUAUCACGAAGAACACCGAUUGCGAAGGCAGCUUACUAACCUGCCACUGACAUUGAUGCUCGAAAGUGUGGGUAUCAAACAGGAUUAGAUACCCGGGUAGUC
Molecule: ribosomal RNA, 460 nt
Filed under: uncultured bacterium
Lineage: Bacteria
Description: partial 16S ribosomal RNA
Rfam family: Bacterial small subunit ribosomal RNA
Source: RNAcentral